AUGGCCUUCUCCUUGUUCCCAUGGCCAUUCCGCCAUCGAGCCAUCAGCAGCGGCAGCGGCGGAACCGGCCCAAGCAAACCCUCCGCCGCGGAGGGGAAGGAGGAGGACGCAGAGGAGCUCGGCGUCACGCCGCAGCUCCUUGACUUCCUCCGGACACUCUCCCCUGACGCCUUCAAGUCCUUCCCCUCCAUUCCCUCUCGAUUACUGGCGGUGCUAUGCUUUGUCGCAGGAGGAUCCACGGAGUCGGCGGUCGAGCUCUCGGACUGGCAGCAGCAGCACGCCGUCCUCGUGCUUGCCAGAGCCAAGGAACUCGCUAAGGUCCGCUAUGAUCUGUGCCCACGCCACAUGAAGGACAAGCAGUUCUGGACAUACAUCUUGUCAAAAUGCUCUGAUCAGAUUAGCAUAUACCGUGUGCUUCAUGCAUCCAAGAGACCAAGACGUCUUCUCUUCUCUAUGGAGAGAAGCUGA
RNAcentral lists this ribosomal RNA (468 nucleotides) under Triticum aestivum (bread wheat). RNAcentral's name for it is "partial small subunit ribosomal RNA". The record is from RNAcentral. Lineage: Eukaryota; Viridiplantae; Streptophyta; Magnoliopsida; Poales; Poaceae.